AACGAACGCUGGCGGCGUGCCUAACACAUGCAAGUCGCGCGAGAAAAGGGGGGUAACUCCCUGAGUAAAGCGGCGCACGGGUGAGUAACACGUAGGUAACCUACCCCCGACGUCCAGGAUAACCUGCCGAAAGGUGGGCUAAUACCGGAUAUGACCACGGGAGGCUUCGGCUCCUGAGGUGAAAGGUGGCCUCUGCUCGCAAGCUACUGCUCGAGGAUGGGCCUGCGCGCCAUUAGCAG
Molecule: ribosomal RNA, 239 nt
Filed under: uncultured bacterium
Lineage: Bacteria
Description: partial 16S ribosomal RNA
Rfam family: Bacterial small subunit ribosomal RNA
Source: RNAcentral